CGUGUAGGCGGCUUUUUAAGUCUGGAGUGAAAGCCCCAUUUUCAAGGUGGGGAGUGCUUUGGAGACUGGAGAGCUUGAGUGCGGAAGAGGUAAGUGGAAUUCCCAGUGUAGCGGUGAAAUGCGUAGAGAUUGGGAGGAACACCAGUGGCGAAGGCGACUUACUGGGCCGUAACUGACGCUGAGGCGCGAAAGCGUGGAGAGCGAACA
Molecule: ribosomal RNA, 207 nt
Filed under: uncultured bacterium
Lineage: Bacteria
Description: partial 16S ribosomal RNA
Rfam family: Bacterial small subunit ribosomal RNA
Source: RNAcentral